This 873-nucleotide ribosomal RNA is filed under the name Panagrolaimus sp. N5. RNAcentral describes it as "SSU rRNA". It matches the Rfam family "Eukaryotic small subunit ribosomal RNA", at positions 58 to 945 of the family's 1831-position model. RNAcentral also lists the same sequence under 2 other names. The record is from RNAcentral. Lineage: Eukaryota; Metazoa; Nematoda; Chromadorea; Rhabditida; Panagrolaimidae.
UCUAAGUACAUGUGAUUUUUCACGAAACCGCGUAUGGCUCAUUAUAACAGCUAUAAUUUACUUGAUUUUGACAUAAAUCCUACAUGGAUAACUGUGGUAAUUCUGGAGCUAAUACAUGCAUAAAAGUUGAAACUUAUGGUUUCAAUGCGUAUAUUAGUUGAAAACCAAGCAUCUUCGGAUGUUUUGUGUUGAAACUGAAUAUAUCUGCUGAUCGUAUGGUCUUGUACCGACGACAUGUCAUUCAAGUGUCUGAUCUAUCAACUUUCUAUAUAAGUAUAUAGUACUUAUAUGGUUUUGACGGAUAACGGAGUAUUAGGGUACGACUCCGGAGAAAAUGCCUGAGAAACGGCGUUUACAUCCAAGGAAGGCAGCAGGCGCGAAAAUUACCCACUCUCAGUUCGAGGAGGUAGUGACGAGAAAUGACAAGAUCUAUUCCUUCGGGGAUGGAUCAUUGGAAUGGUUUGAUUUUAAAACCAUUAAAGAGUAUCAAUGAGAGGGCAAGUCUGGUGCCAGCAGCCGCGGUAAUUCCAGCUCUCAUACUGCAUUGAAUUGUUGUUGCGGUUAAAAAGCUCGUAGUUGGAUCUGUACACGAUAGGGUGGUUCGUCCUUUGGAUGGUAACUACUACUAAGUGUUUUUUAUAAGAUUUUGUACUCUUUAAUCGGGGUACAUGUCUUAUAAGUUUACUUUGAAUAAAUCAGAGUGCUCAAAACAGGCGUAAGCUUGUAUGGUUUUGCAUGGAAUAAUAGAACAUGACUAUGGUUCAUGUUUUAUUGGUUUUACUUACCAUAGUAAUGAUUAAAAGGAACAAACGGGGGCAUCCGUAUCGCAGGGCGAGAGGUGAAAUUCGUGGACCCUUGCGAGACGAACUACAG